Molecule: unclassified non-coding RNA, 384 nt
Filed under: Hevea brasiliensis (rubber tree)
Lineage: Eukaryota; Viridiplantae; Streptophyta; Magnoliopsida; Malpighiales; Euphorbiaceae
Source: RNAcentral
GCUGCUACAAGUGCUGGAGAAUCGUUUAUUCCAUCGCCUACCAUUGCCACCACAUAGCCUGAGGCCUGUAACUCCUUCACUUUCUCUGCUUUCUGCUCAGGUUUGGUUUCUGCCAUGACAGUUUCAAUCCCAACUUCCCUAGCAAUGGAAUUGGCAGUUCCCCAAUUGUCGCCUGUCACCAUUAUGCUCCUGACUUUCAUAGACUUGAGAGUGGAAAUGACUUCACGUGCUCCUGGUUUCAGUGGAUCAGAUAUGGCUAGUACGCCAGUGACUUCUUGAUCUAUAGAUAUUAAAAUCCCAGUUUGAGCCAUCUCUUCAAUUUCUGCAAGCAUCUCUUCAGCAUCAGCUGGAAUGGCAAUGUUGUGAUCGAGCAUUAAACUUCUG